This 511-nucleotide ribosomal RNA is filed under the name uncultured bacterium. RNAcentral's name for it is "bacterial SSU rRNA". It matches the Rfam family "Bacterial small subunit ribosomal RNA", at positions 20 to 518 of the family's 1533-position model. The record is from RNAcentral.
UGGCUCAGGACGAACGCUGGCGGCGUGCCUAACACAUGCAAGUCGAGCGGGGACAUGCGACGGAUUUGAAGAUUCGGUUGGAUAUGAAGAUGUAUGUUCUAGCGGCGGACGGGUGAGUAACGCGUGAGCAACCUGUCCCUUACAGGGGGAUAACACAGCGAAAGUUGUACUAAUACCGCAUAAGACCACGGUAGGACAUCCUACAGGGGUCAAAGGAGAAAUCCGGUAAGGGGUGGGCUCGCGUCCGAUUAGAUAGUUGGUGAGGUAACGGCCCACCAAGUCGACGAUCGGUAGCCGACCUGAGAGGGUGAUCGGCCACAUUGGGACUGAGACACGGCCCAAACUCCUACGGGAGGCAGCAGUGGGGAAUAUUGGGCAAUGGGGGGAAACCCUGACCCAGCAACGCCGCGUGAGGGAAGAAGGUUUUCGGAUCGUAAACCUCUGUCCCAGGUGAAGAGCAAGAGACGGUAACCUGGGAGGAAGCCCCGGCUAACUACGUGCCAGCCGCCGC